Molecule: ribosomal RNA, 478 nt
Filed under: uncultured bacterium
Lineage: Bacteria
Description: SSU rRNA
Rfam family: Bacterial small subunit ribosomal RNA
Source: RNAcentral
AGGACGAACGCUGGCGGCGUGCCUAACACAUGCAAGUGGAGUGACGAACCAGGCUUCGGCCUGGGGCAAAGCCGCGAACGGGUGAGUAACACGUGGGUAACCUGCCCCGAUGAUUGGGACAACCCGAGGAAACUCGGGCUAAUACCGAAUGUGCCCUCCGACCAUAAGGUCGCUGGGGAAAGGAAGCUUCGGCCUUCGCAUCGGGAUGGGCCCGCGGCCCAUUAGCUUGUUGGUGAGGUAACGGCUCACCAAGGCAACGAUGGGUAGCUGGUCUGAGAGGGCGACCGGCCACACUGGGACUGAGACACGGCCCAGACUCCUACGGGAGGCAGCAGUGGGGGAAUAUUGCACAAUGGGGGAAACCCUGAUGCAGCGACGCCGCGUGCGGGAUGAAGGCCUUCGGUUGUAACCGCUUUCAGCAGGGGCGAAUUCAGACGGUACCUGCAGAAGAGCGCCGGCUACACGCGCCAGCAGCCGC